This 131-nucleotide unclassified non-coding RNA is filed under the name Clostridium beijerinckii. Lineage: Bacteria; Bacillati; Bacillota; Clostridia; Eubacteriales; Clostridiaceae. The record is from RNAcentral.
AUCUAUAUAUUAUAUAUAUAAUGUAACAUAAUUAAUAUAAUAUAUAUAUUAUAUAGAGAUAAAUAUAUACAAAUAUAUAUACGCAUGGAGAUAGACAAAAAAUUUUAAUUUUAUGUUACAUUUAAUAAAUG